GAGAGUUAAACAGUACGUGAAAUUGUUGAAAGGGAAACGAUUGAAGUCAGUCAUACUAACGGGAAAUCAACCUCUUGAGUUUGGUCUCGUGGGUUUCGAAGAGUUUAAAAGCCUUCGGAUUUUCGAGAUUGGGCUCUUCUGGUGUACUUUCUCGUACGGUUAGUCAACAUCGGUUUUGAAUGUCAUAAAAUGACUGGAGGAAUGUGGCUUCGAUCUCGUAUUGAAGUGUUAUAACCUUUGGUAGAUGUGAUGUUUGAGACCGAGGAUUGCAACGGAUACCCUUCUGGGCUAUUCGUCUGAUCUCUGAAACGUUGCCUUGAUGUCGAACACUCGCAUACAUGUUAGGGUAUUACGGUCAAAAGGUUAGAACGGAUUAAAUUCGUUAAGGAUGUUGACGUAAUGACUUUAAACGA
Molecule: ribosomal RNA, 413 nt
Filed under: uncultured Funneliformis
Lineage: Eukaryota; Fungi; Glomeromycota; Glomeromycetes; Glomerales; Glomeraceae
Description: partial 28S ribosomal RNA
Source: RNAcentral